AGGAUGAACGCUGGCGGCGUGCCUAAUACAUGCAAGUCGAGCGGCAGCGCGAAUAGUUUACUAUUUGGCGGCGAGCGGCGGACGGCUGAGUAACGCGUAGGAACGUACCCCAAAGUGAGGGAUAAGCACCAGAAAUGGUGUCUAAUACCGCAUGUGGUCUAAGGAUUAAAGCUUCGGCGCUUUGGGAACGGCCUGCGUUUGAUUAGCUAGUUGGUGAGGUAAAAGCUUACCAAGGCGACGAUCAAUAGCUGGUCUGAGAGGAUGAUCAGCCAGACUGGGACUGAGACACGGCCCAGACUCCUACGGGAGGCAGCAGUAGGGAAUUUUCCACAAUGGGCGAAAGCCUGAUGGAGCAACGCCGCGUGCAGGAUGAAUGCCCUAGGGUUGUAAACUGUCUUUUAUAUGUGACGAUUAUGACGGUAGCAUAUGAAUAAGGAUCGGCUAACUCCGCGCCAGCAGCCGCGGU
This 466-nucleotide ribosomal RNA is filed under the name uncultured bacterium. Its description in RNAcentral is "SSU rRNA". It matches the Rfam family "Bacterial small subunit ribosomal RNA", at positions 26 to 521 of the family's 1533-position model. The record is from RNAcentral.